Felis catus (domestic cat) is the source of this 85-nucleotide transfer RNA. It matches the Rfam family "tRNA". Rfam says of the family: Transfer RNA (tRNA) molecules are approximately 80 nucleotides in length. Their secondary structure includes four short double-helical elements and three loops (D, anti-codon, and T loops). Further hydrogen bonds mediate the characteristic L-shaped molecular structure. tRNAs have two regions of fundamental functional importance: the anti-codon, which is responsible for specific mRNA codon recognition, and the 3' end, to which the tRNAs corresponding amino acid is attached (by aminoacyl-tRNA synthetases). tRNAs cope with the degeneracy of the genetic code in two manners: having more than one tRNA (with a specific anti-codon) for a particular amino acid; and 'wobble' base-pairing, i.e. permitting non-standard base-pairing at the 3rd anti-codon position. NCBI's taxonomy places the organism in Eukaryota, Metazoa, Chordata, Mammalia, Carnivora, Felidae. The record is from Rfam.
CCCUGGCUGGCUCAGUCGGUUGAGUGUCUGACUUUGGCUCAGGUCAUGAUCUCACAGUUCAUGGGUUUGAGCCCUAUGUUGGGCU